Molecule: ribosomal RNA, 451 nt
Filed under: uncultured bacterium
Lineage: Bacteria
Description: bacterial SSU rRNA
Rfam family: Bacterial small subunit ribosomal RNA
Source: RNAcentral
GUGAGGAAUAUUGCGCAAUGGGGGCAACCCUGACGCAGCGACGCCGCGUGGAUGAUGAAGGCCUUCGGGUCGUAAAAUCCUGUCAGAUGGGAAGAAGUGCAUGGUGGUUAAUACCCAUCAUGUUUGACGGUACCAUCAGAGGAAGCACCGGCUAACUCCGUGCCAGCAGCCGCGGUAAUACGGAGGGUGCAAGCGUUGUUCGGAAUUACUGGGCGUAAAGCGCGCGUAGGCGGUUUGUUAAGUCAGAUGUGAAAGCCCAGGGCUUAACCCUGGACGUGCAUUUGAAACUGGCAGACUUGAGUAUUGGAGGGGGUGGUGGAAUUCCCGGUGUAGAGGUGAAAUUCGUAGAUAUCGGGAGGAAUACCGGUGGCGAAGGCGACCACCUGGCCAAAUACUGACGCUGAGGUGCGAAAGCGUGGGGAGCAAACAGGAUUAGAUACCCUUGUAGUCC